This 716-nucleotide long non-coding RNA is filed under the name Homo sapiens (human). RNAcentral describes it as "long non-coding RNA NONHSAT141915.2". The record is from RNAcentral. Lineage: Eukaryota; Metazoa; Chordata; Mammalia; Primates; Hominidae.
GCCCCAUCCUGGAUAACUACAUCUCGGCGCUCAGCGCGCUCUGGCACCCGGACUGUUUCGUCUGCAGGAAUGCUUCGCGCCCUUCUCGGGAGGCAGCUUUUUCGAGCACGAGGGCCGCCCGUUGUGCGAGAACCACUUCCACGCACGACGCGGCUCGCUGUGCGCCACGUGUGGCCUCCCUGUGACCGGCCGCUGCGUGUCGGCCCUGGGUCGCCGCUUCCACCCGGACCACUUCACAUGCACCUUCUGCCUGCGCCCGCUCACCAAGGGGUCCUUCCAGGAGCGCGCCGGCAAGCCCUACUGCCAGCCCUGCUUCCUGAAGCUCUUCGGCUGACAGCCCGCUCGGCUCGCCCUCUCCCCCGGAGGCCGCGCCCUCCCGGAAAAGCCGGGUCCUCCAGACCCCGAGGCCUUGCUCUCAGAGCGGGAGGCCCCACCCACUGGAGAGCCCCGCCCCUAAGGUACUAUGAGUCCUCAGGGGUCAAGUUCAGAAACGGCCCAGCCAGACCUAAACCCACACGCCCACAAAGUGGAUUGCACACAGACAAGAACUCCCGUGCGGGCCUCCACUCUAUUCCCACCCUUGAGGGAGCCCCCUUACUGGGGGAGGGUCCUUGCAAUUCCAGCGAAUCGGAGGCCAGGCCAGGACGUCCUUGCUCCCUGCACCCUCACUGUUCUGUGCACUUUUUCUACCUACAUAAACACACGCAUUCCACCUC